This 127-nucleotide small RNA is filed under the name Marmota monax (woodchuck). Lineage: Eukaryota; Metazoa; Chordata; Mammalia; Rodentia; Sciuridae. The record is from RNAcentral.
GCUGGGCGAGGUGGUGCAUACCUGUAAUCCCAGCAGCUUGGGAGGCUGAGGCAGGAGGACUGCAAGUUCAAAGCCAGUCUCAGCAAUUUAGCAAGGGUCUUAAGCAACUAGCAAGACCCUGUCUCUA